This 237-nucleotide ribosomal RNA is filed under the name uncultured Lactobacillus sp. RNAcentral describes it as "partial 16S ribosomal RNA". It matches the Rfam family "Bacterial small subunit ribosomal RNA", at positions 127 to 355 of the family's 1533-position model. The record is from RNAcentral. Lineage: Bacteria; Bacillati; Bacillota; Bacilli; Lactobacillales; Lactobacillaceae.
UGCCCAAGAAGAUCGGGAUAACACCUGGAAACAGAUGCUAAUACCGGAUAACAACAGAUGAUGCCUAUCAAACUGUUUAAAAGAUGGUUCUGCUAUCACUCUUGGAUGGACCUGCGGUGCAUUAGCUAGUUGGUAGGGUAACGGCCUACCAAGGCGAUGAUGCAUAGCCGAGUUGAGAGACUGAUCGGCCACAUUGGGACUGAGACACGGCCCAAACUCCUACGGGAGGCAGCAGUA